GAACUGAAGAGUUUGAUCAUGGCUCAGAUUGAACGCUGGCGGCAGGCCUAACACAUGCAAGUCGAGCGGAUGACGGGAGCUUGCUCCUGAAUUCAGCGGCGGACGGGUGAGUAAUGCCUAGGAAUCUGCCUGGUAGUGGGGGACAACGUUUCGAAAGGAACGCUAAUACCGCAUACGUCCU
This 181-nucleotide ribosomal RNA is filed under the name Pseudomonas putida. RNAcentral describes it as "partial 16S ribosomal RNA". It matches the Rfam family "Bacterial small subunit ribosomal RNA", at positions 1 to 181 of the family's 1533-position model. The record is from RNAcentral. Lineage: Bacteria; Pseudomonadati; Pseudomonadota; Gammaproteobacteria; Pseudomonadales; Pseudomonadaceae.